GCUGGCGGCAGGCUUAACACAUGCAAGUCGAGCGGGCGUAGCAAUACGUCAGCGGCAGACGGGUGAGUAACGCGUGGGAACGUACCUUUUGGUUCGGAACAACCCAGGGAAACUUGGGCUAAUACCGAAUAAGCCCUUACGGGGAAAGAUUUAUCGCCGAAAGAUCGGCCCGCGUCUGAUUAGCUAGUUGGUGAGGUAACGGCUCACCAAGGCGACGAUCAGUAGCUGGUCUGAGAGGAUGAUCAGCCACAUUGGGACUGAGACACGGCCCAAACUCCUACGGGAGGCAGCAGUGGGGAAUAUUGGACAAUGGGCGCAAGCCUGAUCCAGCCAUGCCGCGUGAGUGAUGAAGGCCCUAGGGUUGUAAAGCUCUUUUGUGCGGGAAGAUAAUGACGGUACCGCAAGAAUAAGCCCCGGCUAACUUCGUGCCAGCAGCCGCGGUAAUACGAAGGGGGCUAGCGUUGCUCGGAAUCACUGGGCGUAAAGGGUGCGUAGGCGGGUCUUUAAGUCAGGGGUGAAAUCCUGGAGCU
RNAcentral lists this ribosomal RNA (530 nucleotides) under uncultured soil bacterium. RNAcentral's name for it is "bacterial SSU rRNA". It matches the Rfam family "Bacterial small subunit ribosomal RNA", at positions 35 to 609 of the family's 1533-position model. The record is from RNAcentral.